Molecule: ribosomal RNA, 1454 nt
Filed under: uncultured Bordetella sp.
Lineage: Bacteria; Pseudomonadati; Pseudomonadota; Betaproteobacteria; Burkholderiales; Alcaligenaceae
Description: partial 16S-23S ribosomal RNA intergenic spacer
Rfam family: Bacterial small subunit ribosomal RNA
Source: RNAcentral
AGUUUGAUUCUGGCUCUGUGAUUGAACGCUGGCGGGAUGCUUACACAUGCAAGUCGAACGGCAGCACGGACUUCGGUCUGGUGGCGAGUGGCGAACGGGUGAGUAAUGUAUCGGAACGUGCUCUAGAAGUGGGGAUAACUACGCGAAAGCGUAGCUAAUACCGCCAUUGCCUUCGGGGAAAGCGGGGACCUUCGGGCAGCCUGCACCACAGAUGCGGUCGAUAUCGAUUAGCUGGACAGGUAACGGCUCACCAAGGCGACGAUCCGUAGUUGGUUUGAGAGGACGACCAGCCACACCGGGACUGAGAAUGGGCCCAGACUACUGGAGGCAGCAGUGGGGAAUUUGGACAACGGGGAAACCCUGAUCCAGCCAUCCCGCGUGUGCGAUGCAGAAGGCCUCAAGCUGUAAAGCACUUUUGGCAGGAAAGAAACGGCACGGGAUAAGUCACCCUGCGCAACUGACGGCACUACAGAAUAAGCACCGGCUAACUACGUGCCAGCAGCCGCGGUAAUACGUAGGUGCAAGUGUUAAUCGGAAUUACCAUGCAAGCGCGCAGGCGGUUCGGAAAGAAAGAUGUGAAAUCCCAGAGCUUAACUUUGAACGACAACUGCCGAGCUAGAGUGUGUCAGAGGGAGGUGGAAUUCGCGUGUAGCAGUGAAAUGCGUAGAUAUGCGGAGGAACACCGAUGGCGAAGGCAGCCUCCUGGGAUAACACUGACGCUCAUGCACGAAAGCGUGGGGAGCAAACAGAUUAGAUACCCCGGUAGUCCACGCCCUAAACGAUGUCAACUAGCUGUUGGGGCCUUCGGGCCUGGUAGCGCGGUGCUAACGCGUGAAGUUGACCGCUCGUAGAGUACGGUCGCAAGAUUAAACUCAAAGGAAUUGACGGGGACCCACAAAGCUGUGGAUGAUGCAGAUUAAUUCGAUGCAACGCGAAAACCUUACCUACCCUUACGACAUGUCUGAAUCCCGAAGAGAUUUGGGAGUGCUCGCAAGAGAACCGGAACACAGGUGCUGCAUGGCUGUCGUCAGCUCGUGUCGUGAGAUGCUGUUGUCCCGCAACGAGCAACCCUUUGUCAUUAGUUGCUACGAAAGGGCACUCUAAUGAGACUGCCGGUGACAAACCGAGGAAGGUGGGGAUGACGUCAAGUCCAUGGCCCUUGCGGGUGGGCUUCACACGUCAUACAAUGGUCGGGGAUGAGGGUCGCCAACCCGGCGAGGGUGGAGCCAAUCCCAGAAACCCAACGAUCGGUGUCCGACGCAGUCUGCAACCUGACUGCGGUCGGAAUCGCUAGUAAUCGCGGAUCAGCAUGUCGCGGUGAAUACGUUCCCGGGUCUUGUACACACCGCCCGUCACACCAGCGGAGUGGGUUUUACCAGAAGUAGUUAGCCUAACCGUAAGGAGGGCGAUUACCACGGUAGGAUUCAUGACUGGGUGAAGUCGUAACAAGGUAA